GGUGGUUCUUGGGUGAUGCACCCAGAACCAGAGAGGAGGGAGACCGAUUCCAGGGUGCAUCACCCAAGAACCACC
This is a non-coding RNA of Myotis lucifugus (little brown bat), 75 nucleotides long. NCBI's taxonomy places the organism in Eukaryota, Metazoa, Chordata, Mammalia, Chiroptera, Vespertilionidae. The record is from Rfam.